This 301-nucleotide ribosomal RNA is filed under the name uncultured bacterium. Its description in RNAcentral is "partial 16S ribosomal RNA". It matches the Rfam family "Bacterial small subunit ribosomal RNA", at positions 509 to 809 of the family's 1533-position model. The record is from RNAcentral.
CAGUCGCCACGGUAAUACAGAGGGUGCUAGCGUUAAUCGGAUUUACUGGGCGUAAAGCGUGCGUAGGCGGCUUUUUAAGUCGGAUGUGAAAUCCCUGAGCUUAACUUAGGAAUUGCAUUCGAUACUGGGAAGCUAGAGUAUGGGAGAGGAUGGUAGAAUUCCAGGUGUAGCGGUGAAAUGCGUAGAGAUCUGGAGGAAUACCGAUGGCGAAGGCAGCCAUCUGGCCUAAUACUGACGCUGAGGUACGAAAGCAUGGGGAGCAAACAGGAUUAGAUACCCCCGUAGUCCCUGUCUCUUAUAA